CGGCUCACCAAGGCGACGAUCCCUAGCUGGUCUGAGAGGAUGACCAGCCACACUGGAACUGAGACACGGUCCAGACUCCUACGGGAGGCAGCAGUGGGGAAUAUUGCACAAUGGGCGCAAGCCUGAUGCAGCCAUGCCGCGUGUAUGAAGAAGGCCUUCGGGUUGUAAAGUACUUUCAGCGGGGAGGAAGGGGGUAAAGUUAAUACCUUUGCUCAUUGACGUUACCCGCAGAAGAAGCACCGGCUAACUCCGUGCCAGCAGCCGCGGUAAUACGGAGGGUGCAAGCGUUAAUCGGAAUUACUGGGCGUAAAGCGCACGCAGGCGGUUUGUUAAGUCAGAUGUGAAAUCCCCGGGCUCAACCUGGGAACUGCAUCUGAUACUGGCAAGCUUGAGUCUCGUAGAGGGGGGUAGAAUUCCAGGUGUAGCGGUGAAAUGCGUAGAGAUCUGGAGGAAUACCGGUGGCGAAGGCGGCCCCCUGGACGAAGACUGACGCUCAGGUGCGAAAGCGUGGGGAGCAAACAGGAUUAGAUACCCUGGUAGUCCACGCCGUAAACGAUGUCGACUUGGAGGUUGUGCCCUUGAGGCGUGGCUUCCGGAGCUAACGCGUUAAGUCGACCGCCUGGGGAGUACGGCCGCAAGGUUAAAACUCAAAUGAAUUGACGGGGGCCCGCACAAGCGGUGGAGCAUGUGGUUUAAUUCGAUGCAACGCGAAGAACCUUACCUGGUCUUGACAUCCACGGAAGUUUUCAGAGAUGAGAAUGUGCCUUCGGGAACCGUGAGACAGGUGCUGCAUGGCUGUCGUCAGCUCGUGUUGUGAAAUGUUGGGUUAAGUCCCGCAACGAGCGCAACCCUUAUCCUUUGUUGCCAGCGGUCCGGCCGGGAACUCAAAGGAGACUGCCAGUGAUAAACUGGAGGAAGGUGGGGAUGACGUCAAGUCAUCAUGCCCCUUACGACCAGGGCUACACACGUGCUACAAUGGCGCAUACAAAGAGAAGCGACCUCGCGAGAGCAAGCGGACCUCAUAAAGUGCGUCGUAGUCCGGAUUGGAGUCUGCAACUCGACUCCAUGAAGUCGGAAUCGCUAGUAAUCGUGGAUCAGAAUGCCACGGUGAAUACGUUCCCGGGCCUUGUACACACCGCCCGUCACACCAUGGGAGUGGGUUGCAAAAGAAGUAGGUAGCUUAACCUUCGGGAGGGCGCUUACCACUUUGUGAUUCAUGACUGGGGUGAAGUCGUAACAAGGUA
RNAcentral lists this ribosomal RNA (1244 nucleotides) under metagenome. RNAcentral's name for it is "bacterial SSU rRNA". It matches the Rfam family "Bacterial small subunit ribosomal RNA", at positions 261 to 1498 of the family's 1533-position model. The record is from RNAcentral.